CCUACGGGAGGCAGCAGUGGGGAAUUUUGGACAAUGGGCGCAAGCCUGAUCCAGCAAUGCCGCGUGUGUGAAGAAGGCCUUCGGGUUGUAAAGCACUUUUGUCCGGAAAGAAAUCAUUCUGGCUAAUACCCGGAGUGGAUGACGGUACCGGAAGAAUAAGCACCGGCUAACUACGUGCCAGCAGCCGCGGUAAUACGUAGGGUGCGAGCGUUAAUCGGAAUUACUGGGCGUAAAGCGUGCGCAGGCGGUUUGCUAAGACCGAUGUGAAAUCCCCGGGCUCAACCUGGGAACUGCAUUGGUGACUGGCAGGCUAGAGUAUGGCAGAGGGGGGUAGAAUUCCACGUGUAGCAGUGAAAUGCGUAGAGAUGUGGAGGAAUACCGAUGGCGAAGGCAGCCCCCUGGGCCAAUACUGACGCUCAUGCACGAAAGCGUGGGGAGCAAACAGGAUUAGAUACCCUGGUAGUCCACGCCCUAAACGAUGUCAACUAGUUGUUGGGGAUUCAUUUCCUUAGUAACGUAGCUAACGCGUGAAGUUGACCGCCUGGGGAGUACGGUCGCAAGAUUAAAACUCAAAGGAAUUGACGGGGACCCGCACAAGCGGUGGAUGAUGUGGAUUAAUUCGAU
RNAcentral lists this ribosomal RNA (624 nucleotides) under uncultured bacterium. RNAcentral's name for it is "bacterial SSU rRNA". It matches the Rfam family "Bacterial small subunit ribosomal RNA", at positions 338 to 955 of the family's 1533-position model. The record is from RNAcentral.